CUUGUGUGUUAUCUGAUUGGAAAGUUUUUCCUACUGACUGACAGGACCAGCAUUUGGUGGCGAAUUGACUUAGUUGAGCACUACAAGUUUAGUGGCUGGUGUGCAAUGGGAGAGCUUUUCAAACGCACCUGAACAAACUGGUCGUCUGUGUUGGUCUACCACAUGUCUCCUGUCUCCUGCCUGUCUGGGCUAAGAAAGUUAUGUUCUUGAAUCUGUGCCUGAGAGACAAAUGAGAGAUUUUAAUUUUUUUUUAAUUUUAUUAUUGUACUGAGUUCAUUUUAAGUAUAGAAACACUAUGAACUAUCCGUAAAGCAGGUGGCUUCUAUCCAGGACUUUCUGCGAAAUGCCUGCGGCUAAUUCUUAUCUCCUGGAAGUGGCAAACUUUUUCAUUUCUUGGAUUGCAACUUUUAACUUACUUUUGAAUACUAUUGCCUCUGUGUUUUACUGCUAUUUAUUGCAGAGGUGCUUAAUAGCCUGUUCUCUCCAGCUAGCCUCCCAAGUCUUAUAUCAUGUGCUACAGUGUCAGCAAAGAGAAAUAUUUAUCAGCUGUUGUUAAAAGUUUGUGGGAAUUCUAAUAUGCUGUGCGCCUUAGUAGAUAUUUAGUAGAUAUUUUACAUUGCAAUAUGAGGGGAUUAUUUUGCUUAUUUAGUGAUGGGAAAGUAAUUUGCAAUUUGAAUCUGAGCUGAAAAGAUCUCCCAUUGGACAAGAUCAGUAAUUUCAGUCUAAGUCUGUUAAGCAUCCUUUCUGUUAACAGCUCAGGAGUUCAGCUAUUUUGGAACCCAUAUCAUGUUUGUUAUUUAGAUAUCAAAAUUCACAUAUGUAUCAAUGAGUUUUAACAACUAAGGAUGCAGAAAUGGAGUUUCUAUGUAAUUAUAAGUACUCUUACAAUUCUUUUAAUAGUUAUGUUAAAGAUUACAUCAUGCGUCCUUGAAUCAUUAAUAAUGCCUAUUUUAAAUUAAUAUUUUUGCCACUUCUCAGAAUAUGCAAGGACCUUAAAAUACUCCAGCUUCAUUUAUUCCACUCAUAAUUUAUAUUCUAUUGUCUUCAUGUAUUUUAAUUCUGCAUAUAUUGAA
Molecule: long non-coding RNA, 1073 nt
Organism: Talpa occidentalis (Iberian mole)
Lineage: Eukaryota; Metazoa; Chordata; Mammalia; Eulipotyphla; Talpidae
Exons: 3
Source: RefSeq, a predicted model, not a curated record